RNAcentral lists this long non-coding RNA (581 nucleotides) under Vigna radiata. RNAcentral describes it as "long non-coding RNA (VRAD_LNC011359)". Lineage: Eukaryota; Viridiplantae; Streptophyta; Magnoliopsida; Fabales; Fabaceae. The record is from RNAcentral.
GGGCAUUCACCUGCAAAACCAUGAAACCUAGGCAGCAAAUGUAUCAGUCUAGUGUUGAAAACACAACGAAUGUCCUCCUCAUCAAGUGGAAACGGCUCCCUAGGAGCACUCUCAUGAGAUGGAGGAGGAACCUUACUGUUCUCAACAUAGAAAUCAACAGGAGAAUCAUAAUCAUAGGCAUAGGCAGAAGAAACAGUAUCCACAUAACCAAAAUAGGUAGACAUGGGAAAGAAGGGAAAAGAAGAAUGCAAUGAAAAUAUACAACUAAAGCUACCUAAAUGCAACACACAAUGACGAACACACAAAAUAGAGCAUCACAUUCACCACACGAGACUGUUGAUAUCGGAGGGGGUAUUUUUCAAAGAGUGUAACGCAGCGGAAUAAAACUUAUAGUAAGCGUAACGCGUGUUCGGUCACAGUUAAAACGAAAUUGGUCCUUUUUAGCAAAAAUAAUUUUCUUUCAGAAAAUUAAUCAAACAGUUGAUAUGCGUAAAGUAAAAAGAGUGUAGGGAAUAGAAAAAUCACACGAGUAUUUUUAUAUUGGUUCGAUUCAACAGAAUCUACGUCCAGUCGUUAAUCAC